This 445-nucleotide ribosomal RNA is filed under the name uncultured bacterium. Its description in RNAcentral is "partial 16S ribosomal RNA". It matches the Rfam family "Bacterial small subunit ribosomal RNA", at positions 354 to 796 of the family's 1533-position model. The record is from RNAcentral.
GUGGGGAAUAUUGGACAAUGGGCGAAAGUCUGAACCAGCCAUGCCGCGUGGAGGAUGAAGGUCCUCUCGAUUGUAAACUUCUUUUAUAUGGGACGAAAAUGGGGCUUUCUAGCUCAACUGACGGUACCAUAUGAAUAAGCACCGGCUAACUCCGUGCCAGCAGCCGCGGUAAUACGGAGGGUGCAAGCGUUAUCCGGAUUCACUGGGUUUAAAGGGUGCGUAUGUGGAUUGGUAAGUCAGAGGUGAAAUCUCCGGGCUCAACGCGGAAACUGCCUUUGAUACUAUCAAUCUUGAAUAUUGUGGAGGUUAGCGGAAUAUGUCAUGUAGCGGUGAAAUGCUUAGAUAUGACAUAGAACACCAAUUGCGAAGGCAGCUGGCUACACAUAUAUUGACACUGAGGCACGAAAGCGUGGGGAUCAAACAGGAUUAGAAACCCCUGUAGUCC